AUUGAACGCUGGCGGCAGGCCUAACACAUGCAAGUCGAACGAGUGGCGGACGGGUGAGUAAUGUCUGGGGAACUGCCCGAAGGAGGGGGAUAACUACUGGAAACGGUAGCUAAUACCGCAUACACUCGGAUGUGCCCAUAUGGGAUUAGCUCGUAGGUGGGGUAACGUCUCCCCUAGGCGACGAUCCCUAGCUGGUCUGAGAGGAUGACCAGCAACACGGGAACGGAGAAACGGCCCAGACUCUUACGGGAGGCAGCAGUGGGGAAUAUGGCACAAUGGGCGCAAGCCUGAUGCAGCCAUGCCGCGUGUAUGAAGAAGGCCUUAGGGUUGUAAAGUACUUUCAGCGAGGAGGCGUUACCCGCAGAAGAAGCACCGGCUAACUCCGUGCCAGCAGCCGCGGUAAUUC
RNAcentral lists this ribosomal RNA (406 nucleotides) under uncultured bacterium. RNAcentral's name for it is "partial 16S ribosomal RNA". It matches the Rfam family "Bacterial small subunit ribosomal RNA", at positions 30 to 526 of the family's 1533-position model. The record is from RNAcentral.